UACGUAGGGACCGAGCGUUGUCCGGAAUCAUUGGGCGUAAAGAGCGUGUAGGCGGCUUGUUAAGUCUUGCGUGAAAUCUCGGGGCUCAACCCCGAGCGGUCGUGAGAAACUGGCAGGCUAGAGUGCGGGAGAGGAGAGUGGAAUUCCCGGUGUAGUGGUGAAAUGCGUAGAUAUCGGGAGGAACACCAGUGGCGAAGGCGGCUUCCUGGCCUGUUCUUGACGCUGAGGCGCGAAAGCUAGGGGAGCAAACGGG
This 253-nucleotide ribosomal RNA is filed under the name uncultured bacterium. RNAcentral's name for it is "partial 16S ribosomal RNA". It matches the Rfam family "Bacterial small subunit ribosomal RNA", at positions 524 to 776 of the family's 1533-position model. The record is from RNAcentral.